RNAcentral lists this ribosomal RNA (173 nucleotides) under uncultured bacterium. Its description in RNAcentral is "partial 16S ribosomal RNA". It matches the Rfam family "Bacterial small subunit ribosomal RNA", at positions 338 to 524 of the family's 1533-position model. The record is from RNAcentral.
CCUACGGGAGGCAGCAGUGGGGAAUAUUGGACAAUGGACCAAAAGUCUGAUCCAGCAAUUCUGUGUGCACGAUGACGGUCUUCGGAUUGUAAAGUGCUUUCAGUUGGGAAGAAAAAAAUGACGGUACCAACAGAAGAAGCGACGGCUAAAUACGUGCCAGCAGCCGCGGUAAU